GGGGAUAUGGCGAAAUUGGUAGACGCUACGGACUUAAAAAAUCCGUCGACUUUUAAAAUCGUGAGGGU
This 68-nucleotide transfer RNA is filed under the name Faramea malmei. Its description in RNAcentral is "partial tRNA-Leu". Lineage: Eukaryota; Viridiplantae; Streptophyta; Magnoliopsida; Gentianales; Rubiaceae. The record is from RNAcentral.